Molecule: ribosomal RNA, 160 nt
Filed under: uncultured bacterium
Lineage: Bacteria
Description: partial 16S ribosomal RNA
Rfam family: Bacterial small subunit ribosomal RNA
Source: RNAcentral
CGCAGCAGUGGGGAAUAUUGCACAAUGGGGGAAACCCUGAUGCAGCGACGCCGCGUGAGCGAAGAAGUAUUUCGGUAUGUAAAGCUCUAUCAGCAGGGAAGAAAAUGACGGUACCUGACUAAGAAGCCCCGGCUAACUACGUGCCAGCAGCCGCGGUAAU